RNAcentral lists this ribosomal RNA (1473 nucleotides) under Enterococcus hirae. RNAcentral's name for it is "bacterial SSU rRNA". It matches the Rfam family "Bacterial small subunit ribosomal RNA". The record is from RNAcentral. Lineage: Bacteria; Bacillati; Bacillota; Bacilli; Lactobacillales; Enterococcaceae.
GGGCAGUGGCGGCAGCUAUACAUGCAAGUCGAACGCUUCUUUUUCCACCGGAGCUUGCUCCACCGGAAAAAGAGGAGUGGCGAACGGGUGAGUAACACGUGGGUAACCUGCCCAUCAGAAGGGGAUAACACUUGGAAACAGGUGCUAAUACCGUAUAACAAUCGAAACCGCAUGGUUUUGAUUUGAAAGGCGCUUUCGGGUGUCGCUGAUGGAUGGACCCGCGGUGCAUUAGCUAGUUGGUGAGGUAACGGCUCACCAAGGCGACGAUGCAUAGCCGACCUGAGAGGGUGAUCGGCCACAUUGGGACUGAGACACGGCCCAAACUCCUACGGGAGGCAGCAGUAGGGAAUCUUCGGCAAUGGACGAAAGUCUGACCGAGCAACGCCGCGUGAAGUGAAGAAAGGUUUUUCGGAUCGUAAAAACUCUGUUGUUAGAGAAGAACAAGGAUGAGAGUAACUGUUCAUCCCUUGACGGUAUCUAACCAGAAAGCCACGGCUAACUACGUGCCAGCAGCCGCGGUAAUACGUAGGUGGCAAGCGUUGUCCGGAUUUAUUGGGCGUAAAGCGAGCGCAGGCGGUUUCUUAAGUCUGAUGUGAAAGCCCCCGGCUCAACCGGGGAGGGUCAUUGGAAACUGGGAGACUUGAGUGCAGAAGAGGAGAGUGGAAUUCCAUGUGUAGCGGUGAAAUGCGUAGAUAUAUGGAGGAACACCAGUGGCGAAGGCGGCUCUCUGGUCUGUAACUGACGCUGAGGCUCGAAAGCGUGGGGAGCAAACAGGAUUAGAUACCCUGGUAGUCCACGCCGUAAACGAUGAGUGCUAAGUGUUGGAGGGUUUCCGCCCUUCAGUGCUGCAGCUAACGCAUUAAGCACUCCGCCUGGGGAGUACGACCGCAAGGUUGAAACUCAAAGGAAUUGACGGGGGCCCGCACAAGCGGUGGAGCAUGUGGUUUAAUUCGAAGCAACGCGAAGAACCUUUACCAGGUCUUGAACAUCCUUUUGACCACUCUAGAGAUAGAGCUUUCCYCUUCGGGGGCAAAGUGACARGUGGUGCAUGGGUUGUCGUCAGCUCGUGUCGUGAGAUGUUGGGUUAAGUCCCGCAACGAGCGCAACCCUUAUUGUUAGUUGCCAUCAUUUAGUUGGGCACUCUAGCAAGACUGCCGGUGACAAACCGGAGGAAGGUGGGGAUGACGUCAAAUCAUCAUGCCCCUUAUGACCUGGGCUACACACGUGCUACAAUGGGAAGUACAACGAGUCGCAAAGUCGCGAGGCUAAGCUAAUCUCUUAAAGCUUCUCUCAGUUCGGAUUGUAGGCUGCAACUCGCCUACAUGAAGCCGGAAUCGCUAGUAAUCGCGGAUCAGCACGCCGCGGUGAAUACGUUCCCGGGCCUUGUACACACCGCCCGUCACACCACGAGAGUUUGUAACACCCGAAGUCGGUGAGGUAACCUUUGGAGCCAGCCGCCUAAGUGAUAAAAGU